This 253-nucleotide ribosomal RNA is filed under the name uncultured bacterium. RNAcentral describes it as "partial 16S ribosomal RNA". It matches the Rfam family "Bacterial small subunit ribosomal RNA", at positions 524 to 776 of the family's 1533-position model. The record is from RNAcentral.
UACGGAGGGUGCGAACGUUGCUCGGAAUCAUUGGGCGUAAAGCGCACGUAGGCGGCGGCGUAAGCGGGAUGUGAAAGCCCAGGGCUCAACCCUGGAAGUGCAUCCCGAACUGUGUCGCUUGAAUCUCGGAGGGGGACAGAGAAUUCCCGGUGUAGAGGUGAAGUUCGUAGAUAUCGGGAGGAAUACCAGUGGCGAAGGCGCUGUCCUGGACGAAGAUUGACGCUGAGGUGCGAAAGCGUGGGGAGCAAACAGG